UACGAAGGGGGCUAGCGUUGCUCGGAAUCACUGGGCGUAAAGCGCACGUAGGCGGCUUUCUAAGUCAGGGGUGAAAUCCUGGAGCUCAACUCCAGAACUGCCUUUGAUACUGGAGAGCUCGAGUCCGGAAGAGGUGAGUGGAACUGCGAGUGUAGAGGUGAAAUUCGUAGAUAUUCGCAAGAACACCAGUGGCGAAGGCGGCUCACUGGUCCGGUACUGACGCUGAGGUGCGAAAGCGUGGGGAGCAAACAGGGAUUAAGA
This 261-nucleotide ribosomal RNA is filed under the name uncultured bacterium. RNAcentral describes it as "partial 16S ribosomal RNA". It matches the Rfam family "Bacterial small subunit ribosomal RNA", at positions 524 to 784 of the family's 1533-position model. The record is from RNAcentral.